UACGAAGGGGGCUAGCGUUGUUCGGAAUUACUGGGCGUAAAGGGCUCGUAGGCGGCCAACUAAGUCAGACGUGAAAUCCCUCGGCUUAACCGGGGAACUGCGUCUGAUACUGGAUGGCUUGAGUUCGGGAGAGGGAUGUGGAAUUCCAGGUGUAGCGGUGAAAUGCGUAGAUAUCUGGAGGAACACCGGUGGCGAAGGCGGCAUCCUGGACCGACAUUGACGCUGAGGCGCGAAAGCCAGGGGAGCAAACGGG
Molecule: ribosomal RNA, 253 nt
Filed under: uncultured bacterium
Lineage: Bacteria
Description: partial 16S ribosomal RNA
Rfam family: Bacterial small subunit ribosomal RNA
Source: RNAcentral